This 414-nucleotide ribosomal RNA is filed under the name uncultured bacterium. RNAcentral describes it as "partial 16S ribosomal RNA". It matches the Rfam family "Bacterial small subunit ribosomal RNA", at positions 355 to 759 of the family's 1533-position model. The record is from RNAcentral.
UGGGGAAUUUUGGACAAUGGGCGAAAGCCUGAUCCAGCAAUGCCGCGUGUGUGAAGAAGGCCUUCGGGUUGUAAAGCACUUUUGUCCGGAAAGAAAUCCUUGGCUCUAAUACAGUCGGGGGAUGACGGUACCGGAAGAAUAAGCACCGGCUAACUACGUGCCAGCAGCCGCGGUAAUACGUAGGGUGCAAGCGUUAAUCGGAAUUACUGGGCGUAAGCGUGCGCAGGCGGUUUGCUAAGACCGAUGUGAAAUCCCCGGGCUCAACCUGGGAACUGCAUUGGUGACUGGCAGGCUAGAGUAUGGCAGAGGGGGGUUAGAAUUGCCACGUGUAGCAGUCNAAAUGCGUAGAGAUGUGGAGGAAUACCGAUGGCGAAGGCAGCCCCCUGGGCCAAUACUGACGCUCAUGCACGAAAG